GACGAACGCUGGCGGCGUGCUUAACACAUGCAAGUCGAACGGAAAGGCCCUGCUUUUGUGGGUUGCUCGAGUGGCGAACGGGUGAGUAACACGUGAGUAACCUGCCCUUGACUUUGGGAUAACUUCAGGAAACUGGGGCUAAUACCGGAUAGGAGCUCUUGCUGCAUGGUGGGGGUUGGAAAGUUUCGGCGGUUGGGGAUGGACUCGCGGCUUAUCAGCUUGUUGGUGGGGUAGUGGCUUACCAAGUCUUUGACGGGUAGCCGGCCUGAGAGGGUGACCGGCCACAUUGGGACUGAGAUACGGCCCAGACUCCUACGUGAGGCAGCAGUGGGAAAUAUUGCACAGUGGGCGGAAGCCUGAUGCAGCAACGCCGCGUGCGGGAUAACGGGCUACGGGUUGUAAACCGCUUUCGACUGUGACGAAGCGUGAGUGACGGUAAUGGGUAAAGAAGCAACGGCUAACUACGUG
This 468-nucleotide ribosomal RNA is filed under the name uncultured bacterium. RNAcentral's name for it is "partial 16S ribosomal RNA". It matches the Rfam family "Bacterial small subunit ribosomal RNA", at positions 28 to 507 of the family's 1533-position model. The record is from RNAcentral.